UGCGAAUCUACUGCCUACCAUGCUCGUCGAUAGCAGCAAAGGAGAGCUUGCUCUCUGGGUGGCGAGUGGCGGACGGGUGAGGAAUACAUCGGAAUCUACUUUUUCGUGGGGGAUAACGUAGGGAAACUUACGCUAAUACCGCAUACGACCUACGGGUGAAAGCAGGGGAUCUUCGGACCUUGCGCGAUUGAAUGAGCCGAUGUCGGAUUAGCUAGUUGGCGGGGUAAAGGCCCACCAAGGCGACGAUCCGUAGCUGGUCUGAGAGGAUGAUCAGCCACACUGGAACUGAGACACGGUCCAGACUCCUACGGGAGGCAGCAGUGGGGAAUAUUGGACAAUGGGCGCAAGCCUGAUCCAGCCAUACCGCGUGGGUGAAGAAGGCCUUCGGGUUGUAAAGCCCUUUUGUUGGGAAAGAAAUCCAGCUGGUUAAUACCCGGUUGGGAUGACGGUACCCAAAGAAUAAGCACCGGCUAACUUCGUGCCAGCAGCCGCGGUAAUACGAAGGGUGCAAGCGUUACUCGGAAUUACUGGGCGUAAAGCGUGCGUAGGUGGUCGUUUAA
This 560-nucleotide ribosomal RNA is filed under the name Stenotrophomonas maltophilia. RNAcentral's name for it is "bacterial SSU rRNA". It matches the Rfam family "Bacterial small subunit ribosomal RNA", at positions 56 to 586 of the family's 1533-position model. The record is from RNAcentral. Lineage: Bacteria; Pseudomonadati; Pseudomonadota; Gammaproteobacteria; Lysobacterales; Lysobacteraceae.